Molecule: ribosomal RNA, 411 nt
Filed under: uncultured bacterium
Lineage: Bacteria
Description: bacterial SSU rRNA
Rfam family: Bacterial small subunit ribosomal RNA
Source: RNAcentral
ACCGAGGAUCCGCGUCCGAUACUGUCGAACUUGAGUGCAGGAGAGGAGAGCGGAAUUCCCAGUGUAGCGGUGAAAUGCGUAGAUAUUGGGAGGAACACCGGCGGCGAAGGCGGCUACCUGGACAGUGACUGACGCUGAUGCGCGAAAGCUAGGGGAGCGAACGGGAUUAGAUACCCCGGUAGUCCUAGCUGUAAACGAUGGGCACUUGGUGUUGGGGGUAUUGAGUCCCCCGGUGCCGGAGUUAACACGUUAAGUGCCCCGCCUGGGGAGUACGGUCGCAAGACUGAAACUCAAAGGAAUUGACGGGGGCCCGCACAAGCGGUGGAGCAUGUGGUUCAAUUCGACGCAACGCGAAGAACCUUACCGAGGCUCGAACGGUAACUGCAAUCCUUGGAAACAGGGAGUUCUCUU